This 497-nucleotide ribosomal RNA is filed under the name uncultured bacterium. RNAcentral's name for it is "partial 16S ribosomal RNA". It matches the Rfam family "Bacterial small subunit ribosomal RNA", at positions 38 to 507 of the family's 1533-position model. The record is from RNAcentral.
GGGGGGGGGGGGGGGGGGGCGGGAGGCGUGGGAGGCGGGCGGACGGACGAGGAGCUUGCUUCUCUGAUGUUAGCGGCGGACGGGUGAGUAACACGUGGAUAACCUACCUAUAAGACUGGGAUAACUUCGGGACACCGGAGCUAAUACCGGAUAAUAUUUUGAACCGCCUGGUUCAAAAGUGAACGACGGUCUUGCUGUCACUUAUCGAUGGGUCCGGGCUGCCUUAGCUAGUUGGUAAGGUAACGGCUGACCAAGGCAACGAUGCAUAGCCGACCUGAGAGGGUGAGCGGCCACACUGGAACUGAGACACGGUCCAGACUCCUACGGGAGGCAGCAGUAGGGAAUCUUCCGCAAUGGGCGAAAGCCUGACGGAGCAACGCCGCGUGAGUGAUGAAGGUCUUCGGAUCGUAAAACUCUGUUAUUAGGGAAGAACAUAUGUGUAAGUAACUGUGCACAUCUUGACGGUACCUAAUCAGAAAGCCACGGCUAACUACGUG